GACGAACGCUGGCGGCGUGCUUAACGCAUGCAAGUCGAACGGAGAGGCCCUGCUUUUGUGGGGUGCUCGAGUGGCGAACGGGUGAGUAACACGUGAGUAACCUGCCCUUGACUUUGGGAUAACUUCAGGAAACUGGGGCUAAUACCGGAUAGGAGCUCCUGCUGCAUGGUGGGGGUUGGAAAGUUUCGGCGGUUGGGGAUGGACUCGCGGCUUAUCAGCUUGUUGGCGGGGUAGUGGCUUACCAAGGCUUUGACGGGUAGCCGGCCUGAGAGGGUGACCGGCCACAUUGGGACUGAGAUACGGCCCAGACUCCUACGGGAGGCAGCAGUGGGGAAUAUUGCACAAUGGGCGGAAGCCUGAUGCAGCAACGCCGCGUGCGGGAUGACGGCCUUCGGGUUGUAAACCGCUUUCGCCUGUGACGAAGCGUGAGUGACGGUAAUGGGUAAAGAAGCACCGGCUAACUACGUG
RNAcentral lists this ribosomal RNA (468 nucleotides) under uncultured bacterium. Its description in RNAcentral is "partial 16S ribosomal RNA". It matches the Rfam family "Bacterial small subunit ribosomal RNA", at positions 28 to 507 of the family's 1533-position model. The record is from RNAcentral.